AGAGAGAGAGGUCAGCCAUCAACACAAGAAAAAGGACCUCUAUGACAAAGAAGGCAAAACCUCUGAGAUGGUAUCUCUGGAGGGAGAUGUUGGAACUGACGGAGAAGCUGCCAACUGCUGUUUAUCUGUUAACCAGUACCUCAGCAGCAACUAGAUGGAUGGAGGCAAUGGCCCUGUUUGCAAGGGAACUUCGCUCAGUCCUGGAAAUCCAGGUGUUUGACAGCUCCAGAUUAACAAUAAUGAAAAUAGUAAGAGACUUGUAGUAACUGGUUUGUACAGUAUGUCAGCACCAAAGCACCAAGGAGCUGUUACUUGAAUUCAGAUGCAAGUUCUGCAGGAAAAAAUGUCUGCCUGAUCUGAUAACUGGGAGUGACAACACAAUGGGCUACAUUGAAAGGGGCAAUA
This is a long non-coding RNA of Pipra filicauda (Wire-tailed manakin), 405 nucleotides long. RefSeq lists it as uncharacterized. The record is from RefSeq and is a predicted model, not a curated record. NCBI's taxonomy places the organism in Eukaryota, Metazoa, Chordata, Aves, Passeriformes, Pipridae. The transcript has 4 exons.